RNAcentral lists this ribosomal RNA (491 nucleotides) under Pseudomonas sp. LSMN7. Its description in RNAcentral is "bacterial SSU rRNA". It matches the Rfam family "Bacterial small subunit ribosomal RNA", at positions 36 to 522 of the family's 1533-position model. Lineage: Bacteria; Pseudomonadati; Pseudomonadota; Gammaproteobacteria; Pseudomonadales; Pseudomonadaceae. The record is from RNAcentral.
CUGGCGGCAGGCCUAACACAUGCAAGUCGAGCGGAUGACGGGAGCUUGCUCCUUGAUUCAGCGGCGGACGGGUGAGUAAUGCCUAGGAAUCUGCCUGGUAGUGGGGGACAACGUUUCGAAAGGAACGCUAAUACCGCAUACGUCCUACGGGAGAAAGCAGGGGACCUUCGGGCCUUGCGCUAUCAGAUGAGCCUAGGUCGGAUUAGCUAGUUGGUGGGGUAAUGGCUCACCAAGGCGACGAUCCGUAACUGGUCUGAGAGGAUGAUCAGUCACACUGGAACUGAGACACGGUCCAGACUCCUACGGGAGGCAGCAGUGGGGAAUAUUGGACAAUGGGCGAAAGCCUGAUCCAGCCAUGCCGCGUGUGUGAAGAAGGUCUUCGGAUUGUAAAGCACUUUAAGUUGGGAGGAAGGGCAGUAAGCUAAUACCUUGCUGUUUUGACGUUACCGACAGAAUAAGCACCGGCUAACUCUGUGCCAGCAGCCGCGGUA